RNAcentral lists this transfer RNA (68 nucleotides) under Marmota monax (woodchuck). RNAcentral describes it as "tRNA.Val". It matches the Rfam family "tRNA". From Rfam's summary of the family: Transfer RNA (tRNA) molecules are approximately 80 nucleotides in length. Lineage: Eukaryota; Metazoa; Chordata; Mammalia; Rodentia; Sciuridae. The record is from RNAcentral.
GGUUGUGGCUUAGUGGUAAGAGCACUUGCCUAACAUGUGUAAGGCCCUGAGUUAGAUUCUCAGCACCA